UUUGCACGCCGUGCGUAACGUGCAUUCUGGCGGUGCCGGGAGCGGGGCGAGGAGGAGGGUGGGUAUGAGGCGGUAGCGGACCGCGGAGUCGAGACCUACCCGAACGACGCGGGCGAGCGGGGCUUUGGACGCCGGUGGAGACGCAGGCGAGACUCCAGCGGGAGGAAGAAGAGGCCUUUGCCAGCAGUCAGAGCAGCCAAGGGGCCCAAUCCCUCACAUUCUCCAAGUUUGAAGGAAAGAAAACCAACAAGAAGACCCGCAAGGUUACCACAGUGAAGAAAUCUUCAGUACGUCUUCCAGGGUCGGAUCAAAGAAGGAUAUUGAAAUGGAUUCCAGGCGUGUGCCUCGAGACAAGCUGGCCUGCAUCACCAAGUGCAGCAAGCACAUCUUCGAUGCCAUCAAGAUCACCUAGAACGAGCUGGCGUCAGCAGAUGACUUCCUCCCCACCCUCAUCUACAUUGUUUUGAAGGGCAACCCCCAUGCCUUCAGUCUAAUAUCCAGUAUAUCACGUGCUUCUGCAAUCCAAGCCGACUGAUGACUGGAGAGGAUGGCUACUAUUUCACCAAUCUGGUGAGUAAGUGAGUUCUUGGCGUUGUGGAGAAGGACUAGGAAGGUGGUGGUUUUGGGGAUGUGAUAGGUCACUCAGGCCCAUGACAGGUGAAUGCUUCUGUGUGAGAAGGCAGCACGGCUGAGGAAGCUCACUUUGCAUCAGGGAGCACAAGGACCAGGCCGUACAGACACUCCGCCUCCCCGCACUUGAUCAGAGAUUGUGUUUAUCCUACAGAAACAGAUGACAUGUGUUGGGCAUCACUCCCCACGGUCCUGGGUAGAAGAGUCCUUCACUUGGCAGGGCUUUUUCAACCAAUGAAUAAGGCAAAUUAUAUAUAAGUUAAUAAUGCCAUUUCGAACCGAGACAGAUGGCAGCUAAAUGAAGUUUAAUUAAAGAAUGAGCGCUGGGGCCCUUUUUAUUGGGUACUGCAUCUACUUCGACCACAAAAGACGAAGUGACCCCAACUUCAAGAACAGGCUUUGAGAUGGAAGAAAGAAACAGAAGCUUGCCAAGGAGAGAGCUGGGCUUUCCAAGUUACCUGACCUUAAAGAUGCUGAAGCUGUUCAGAAGUUCUUCCUUGAAGAAAUACAGCUUGGUGAAGAGUUACUAGCUCAAGGUGAAUAUGAGAAGGGCGUAGACCAUCUGACAAACGGAAUUGCUGUGUGUGGACAGCCACAGCAGUUACUGCAGGCCUUACAGCAAACUCUUCCACCACUAGUGUUCCAGAUGCUUUUGACUAAGCUCCCAACAAUUAGAGAAUUCUAAGUGCUCAGAGCUUGGCUGAAGAUGAUGUGGAAUGAGAAACAAAUGUUAACAUAAUAAAAUCUCAGUUAAAAAUAUUUAAAAAAUUCUUGGUAGUUGAGCAGCUCUGGGGGAAUAAGGGCAAAUAUCCUUGUUAUGAACUACACUGAAAUCUACCAAAGUUAAUGUUUACUUUGUGUAGGUCCAUUUGUCUAUUUUAUUUAUUUUUCCCAGUGAAAAGUGUAUUUUGAUAGAGAACUUUUCAUUUUAUAAAUACACUAUGAGUUACUGAAAAUUCAUAUCAUGGAUUUCAUUUAUUCCUGAAACAUAGUUAAAAUGUACAUAUGACAUGGCUUAUGUUAAAAAUACCCAGUGCUCAGUUUUGAAAGAUAGGCA
This 1687-nucleotide long non-coding RNA is filed under the name Homo sapiens (human). RNAcentral's name for it is "long non-coding RNA NONHSAT213576.1". The record is from RNAcentral. Lineage: Eukaryota; Metazoa; Chordata; Mammalia; Primates; Hominidae.